AUUAAAGUAGUUUAUAAAAAUGUCGGUUUGUGGUGCCGGAGAAGUAGUUUUACUACCUUUAGUA
RNAcentral lists this transfer RNA (64 nucleotides) under Alpheus lobidens. RNAcentral describes it as "tRNA-His". It matches the Rfam family "tRNA". From Rfam's summary of the family: Transfer RNA (tRNA) molecules are approximately 80 nucleotides in length. Their secondary structure includes four short double-helical elements and three loops (D, anti-codon, and T loops). Further hydrogen bonds mediate the characteristic L-shaped molecular structure. tRNAs have two regions of fundamental functional importance: the anti-codon, which is responsible for specific mRNA codon recognition, and the 3' end, to which the tRNAs corresponding amino acid is attached (by aminoacyl-tRNA synthetases). tRNAs cope with the degeneracy of the genetic code in two manners: having more than one tRNA (with a specific anti-codon) for a particular amino acid; and 'wobble' base-pairing, i.e. permitting non-standard base-pairing at the 3rd anti-codon position. The record is from RNAcentral. Lineage: Eukaryota; Metazoa; Arthropoda; Malacostraca; Decapoda; Alpheidae.